This 815-nucleotide long non-coding RNA is filed under the name Bos taurus (domestic cattle). Its description in RNAcentral is "long non-coding RNA NONBTAT000237". The record is from RNAcentral. Lineage: Eukaryota; Metazoa; Chordata; Mammalia; Artiodactyla; Bovidae.
AAACAUAAAGUAUUUGUCACCUUUUUAAAGAUUUAAUAUUUUCCUUUACGUUAAUACUGACUGCUGCUUUGUUUUUAGCCUGAUUAUAGUGACUAAUAAGGAGUACAUGAAAGUCUUUCUCUUAAAAACUGGUUUAGUAAUGGAAGAGAUUAGCAAAAGAGACUUCUUUUAUAGCUAAACCUGUGUCUUAACCAUCUUCUUUAUCAUUUGAGUAAAACCUUAAAUCUAGGGCUGACAUGUGUAAUUUGCUUUAAUUUCAAAGUAGAGUAAUAGUUUGAUUUCCUGACAGCGAAGCCAGCUGAUGGUGAUACACCCUAGAAAACAACUGAACGAAAGCCUCCUGUAAAUGCUUUUCCCCUUUCAGAUAUGUUAUUAACAUCUUAGUGCUGCCACGAUCCUGUACCAUGCCUGUUACUGAUAAUAACAUAAUGUACAACCCUGAUGUUUUGUGUUCUAGCUUAUAAUUUCUUACCUUUCUUUACAUUUCUUAUGUAUAAAGAUAUAUGCUAAUUUUCUAUCAUAGCUCUUUAAAAAAUGAUAAGGAAUUACUUCACACCUAGAACUUGUUUUUUUUUCCCCCCUUCGACCUCUGUGGAAAAUCAUAAAGACCAGUGCAGUUAUAUGCUAUAUUUUCAUUAUGUUGAUUGACCUUACUAAUACGGUCUUUAGAAUUCACAGUGUAAAGUUCAAAUUUAUACCUGAUAUAAUGUAAGUUAAUUGCCUUUGUCAAGUUUUUCCCCACAAGAAGGAUGAUAAAUAGAUAUUGCUAGGUGUGGAAAAUAAAAAUAUAUGCAAAUAAAUAAAAUAUUGAGUCC